AAACUCUACAGGACAGCAGCACUCCAGGACCGACGUUGCCUACCCCUGGACUACAGUAUGAAUUUUUGCAAAUUAACAAAAACCUCACCGACCUGGGUUGCUGGUGUGUUUCAGGAUCUUCCUCAGUCUGCAGCUAAAAUAAUUCUGGAUCAUGCAAAGAAAACCGCCAACCAAUGAGAUAACUUCUUCCUGUUUUGUGAGCCACUUCUGAUAAGCAUUUUAGUGACAGCCAUUUUGUCAAUUACCUUUGGAUUGUUGUUGUCUUUGCACCCUUUUAUCAUAUAUUACAUGGUGUGUGGAG
Molecule: long non-coding RNA, 301 nt
Filed under: Sinocyclocheilus anshuiensis
Lineage: Eukaryota; Metazoa; Chordata; Actinopteri; Cypriniformes; Cyprinidae
Description: lncRNA (ENSSANG00000008240.1)
Source: RNAcentral